CAUAUUAGAGUUUGUGUUGAAUUUUUCCGUUACAUUGAAGAGGUCUCAAUUAUUUGGGUAGUAUGAUUGG
This 70-nucleotide transfer RNA is filed under the name Sigmocheir furcata. RNAcentral describes it as "tRNA-Val". The record is from RNAcentral. Lineage: Eukaryota; Metazoa; Arthropoda; Diplopoda; Polydesmida; Xystodesmidae.